GAGGAGCUUGCUCCUCUGACGUUAGCGGCGGACGGGUGAGUAACACGUGGAUAACCUACCUAUAAGACUGGGAUAACUUCAGGAAACCGGAGCUAAUACCGGAUAAUAUAUUGAACCGCAUGGUUCAAUAGUGAAAGACGGUUUUGCUGUCACUUAUAGAUGGAUCCGCGCCGCAUUAGCUAGUUGGUAAGGUAACGGCUUACCAAGGCAACGAUGCGUAGCCGACCUGAGAGGGUGAUCGGCCACACUGGAACUGAGACACGGUCCAGACUCCUACGGGAGGCAGCAGUAGGGAAUCUUCCGCAAUGGGCGAAAGCCUGACGGAGCAACGCCGCGUGAGUGAUGAAGGUCUUCGGAUCGUAAAACUCUGUUAUUAGGGAAGAA
Molecule: ribosomal RNA, 384 nt
Filed under: uncultured Staphylococcus sp.
Lineage: Bacteria; Bacillati; Bacillota; Bacilli; Caryophanales; Staphylococcaceae
Description: bacterial SSU rRNA
Rfam family: Bacterial small subunit ribosomal RNA
Source: RNAcentral